AUUGAACGCUGGCGGCAGGCCUAACACAUGCAAGUCGAGCGGAGCGGCGGACGGGGGCGUGAGGCCUAGGAAUCUGCCUGGUAGUGGGGGAUAACGACCGGAAACGGGCGCUAAUACCGCAUACUAUCAGAUGAGCCUAGGUCGGAUUAGCUAGUUGGUGGGGUAAGGGCCUACCAAGGCGACGAUCCGUAACUGGUCUGAGAGGAUGAGCAGCCACACUGGAACUGAGACACGGUCCAGACUCCUACGGGAGGCAGCAGUGGGGAAUAUUGGACAAUGGGCGAAAGCCUGAUCCAGCCAUGCCGCGUGUAUGAAGAAGGUCUUCGGGUUGUAAAGCACUUUCAGUUGGGAGGCGUUACCCACAGAAGAAGCACCGGCUAACUCCGUGCCAGCAGCCGCGGUAAUUC
Molecule: ribosomal RNA, 407 nt
Filed under: uncultured bacterium
Lineage: Bacteria
Description: partial 16S ribosomal RNA
Rfam family: Bacterial small subunit ribosomal RNA
Source: RNAcentral